This 207-nucleotide ribosomal RNA is filed under the name uncultured bacterium. Its description in RNAcentral is "partial 16S ribosomal RNA". It matches the Rfam family "Bacterial small subunit ribosomal RNA", at positions 568 to 774 of the family's 1533-position model. The record is from RNAcentral.
CACGUAGGCGGCUUUGCAAGUUAGAGGUGAAAGCCCGGAGCUUAACUCCGGAAUUGCCUUUAAAACUGCAUCGCUAGAAUUGUGGAGAGGUGAGUGGAAUUCCGAGUGUAGAGGUGAAAUUCGUAGAUAUUCGGAAGAACACCAGUGGCGAAGGCGACUCACUGGACACAUAUUGACGCUGAGGUGCGAAAGCGUGGGGAGCAAACG